RNAcentral lists this ribosomal RNA (1334 nucleotides) under uncultured marine eukaryote. RNAcentral describes it as "SSU rRNA". It matches the Rfam family "Eukaryotic small subunit ribosomal RNA", at positions 408 to 1758 of the family's 1831-position model. The record is from RNAcentral.
CGCCAUUCAAAGGAGGAGCAGGCGCGCAAUUACCCAAUCCUGACUCAGGGAGGUAGUGACAAGAAAUAACAAUAAACCGGCUUAUGCCGGUUUAAUUGGAAUGAGUACAAUUUAAACAUCUUAACGAGGAACAAUUGGAGGGCAAGUCUGGUGCCAGCAGCCGCGGUAAUUCCAGCUCCAAUAGCGUAUACUAAAGUUGUUGCAGUUAAAAAGCUCGUAGUUGGAUUUCUGUGGGGACGGAGCGGCCGGCCGCACAUCGCGGUUCGAGCUAGCGCUUUCCCUACAUCCUGCCGCGAACCGUGCUACCAUUAGUUUGGUGGCGCUGGGGAUCGGCUCGAUUACUUUGAGAAAAAUAGAGUGUUCAAAGCGGGCCACAUGCCUUGAAUAAGUUAGCAUGGAAUAAUAACUAAGGACUUCGGUUCUAUUUUGUUGGUGUUCGGGACUGAAGUAAUGAUUGAUAGGGACAGUUGGGGCGGUCUGUAUUCCAAAGCGAGAGGUGAAAUUCUUAGACCUUCGGAAGACAAACAGCUGCGAAAGCGUUCCGCAAGGAUGUUCCCUUUGAUCAAGAACGAAAGUUGGGGGAUCGAAGACGAUCAGAUACCGUCGUAGUCUCAACUAUAAACUAUACCAGCUAGGGAUCGGCCAACGUUAUUUUAUACCGACUUGGUCGGCACCUUAUGAGAAAUCAAAGCAUCUGGGUUCCGGGGGGAGUAUGGUCGCAAGGCUGAAACUUAAAGGAAUUGACGGAAGGGCACCACCAGCCGUGGAGCCUGUGGCUUAAUUUGACUCAACACGGGAAAACUUACCAGGUCCAGACAUAGUAAGGAUUGACAGAUUGAUAGCUCUUUCUUGAUUCUGUGGGUGGUGGUGCAUGGCCGUUCUUAGUCGGUGGAGUGAUUUGUCUGGUUAAUUCCGUUAACGAACGAGACCCCAGCCUGCUAAAUAGCGCGCGUGAGCUUUGCUCGCGGCGAGCUUCUUAGAGGGACUAUGAUGCGCGAUAGCACAUGGAAGUUUGGGGCAAUAACAGGUCUGUGAUGCCCUUAGAUGUUCUGGGCCGCACACGGGCUACACUGGCGCCUGCAACGAGCAUAUCAGCUGGCCCGAGAGGGUCUUGGCUAAUCUUUUGAACCGGCGCCGUGCUUGGGAUUGACCUUUGCAAUUGUUGGUCAUGCAACGAGGAAUGCCUUGUAAACGCGAGUCAUCAGCUCGCAUUGAAUACGUCCCUGCCCUUUGUACACACCGCCCGUCGCUCCUACCGAUGAAUGUUCCGAUGAAAUUUUCGGAGAGCACCUGUGAACUUGGCUCUGCCUUGCGAACGGGAGGCUCAAAGUCAC